UAACGCGUGGGUAACCUGCCUCAUACAGGGGGAUAACAGUUAGAAAUGACUGCUAAUACCGCAUAAGCGCACAGUGCUGCAUGGCACAGUGUGAAAAACUCCGGUGGUAUGAGAUGGACCCGCGUCUGAUUAGCUAGUUGGUGGGGUAACGGCCUACCAAGGCGACGAUCAGUAGCCGGCCUGAGAGGGUGAACGGCCACAUUGGGACUGAGACACGGCCCAA
RNAcentral lists this ribosomal RNA (223 nucleotides) under uncultured bacterium. RNAcentral describes it as "partial 16S ribosomal RNA". It matches the Rfam family "Bacterial small subunit ribosomal RNA", at positions 111 to 334 of the family's 1533-position model. The record is from RNAcentral.